RNAcentral lists this small nucleolar RNA (137 nucleotides) under Ornithorhynchus anatinus (platypus). The record is from RNAcentral. Lineage: Eukaryota; Metazoa; Chordata; Mammalia; Monotremata; Ornithorhynchidae.
CCCCUCUCAGGGUCGCACCUGGAAAGUUCCCAGUACUCUACCAGUCUCAGCUAGGGAGGGAGAGUCAAGCAGAGGCCUACCCAUUCCAUUCCUAGCUUGGGCAGUGGCUAGCAAGUGGAAGGCAAUCUGCUACAAGU